RNAcentral lists this unclassified non-coding RNA (1973 nucleotides) under uncultured fungus. RNAcentral's name for it is "sequence contains 18S rRNA gene, ITS1, 5.8S rRNA gene, ITS2, 28S rRNA gene". The stretch from base 816 to 1973 matches the Rfam family "Eukaryotic large subunit ribosomal RNA", at positions 1 to 961 of the family's 3401-position model. The record is from RNAcentral. Lineage: Eukaryota; Fungi.
GGAAGGAUCAUUAGCACUUUUACAUGACAACUCUAUCGUUUCGGUCGAGUGCGUGCGCGCAAGCGUGUGCGCUCGAUCGGGACGGUAGUCAGCCCCCAGUGAUGCGUUGAAGUACGGUAACAGUAUCCAUACCCUCUCUCCAACCUUGUGUUGGCGUGCAGGGUCACUGGGUGCUGUUGCCAACCAAAAAAUUAACGCCUUACCAAUGUGACUAAACCUCUCGAACGCGUGCAAACGCGAUCGAUUGUUAUAACCAUGAGACAACUUUUGACAACGGAUAUCUUGGUUCUCGCAACGAUGAAGAGCGCAGCGAAAUGCGAUACGUAAUGUGAAUUGCAGAAUUCAGUGAAUCAUCAAAUCCUUGAACGCAACUUGCGCUCGUGAGUCCUCUCACGAGCAUGCCUGUUUGAGUGUCGGUUUCCCAUCCUCACCCCAUUACACACGCAUGCGUGUGUUAUCCGGUUGGUGGAAGCCGAUUGGGAGUUGGGCAUGCUUCGUUGUGUGCUCAUCUCUUGAAACGAAUCGGUACUCUGAGGCGUCAUACACAAAGCAAACAGCCAAACCGGGGGCGUCACAAGCCUGCCGUUUGACCUGCUUUCUGGCCGCUACGAGCUCCAAAGUGCAUCAGUGAGUUGCGUACUCGAUUGACACGCUUAGAGCCAGGACGGAGAGCAUCAAGGGUCUGAACGGAAGCGCAUGUGACCAUAUUCCCGGUCUGGUUGCUUUUUUUGACGCGUCGUUUGCGGUACCGAACGCUUGGAAACAACGGACACGUGCGGCGGCUUCGGUCGUCGCAUGCGUCCCGCUUUCAACAUCGACCUCAAAUCAGGCAAGGCUACCCGCUGAAUUUAAGCAUAUCAAUAAGCGGAGGAAAAGAAACUAACCAGGAUUCCCCUAGUAACGGCGAGUGAAGAGGGAAGAGCUCAAAUUUGGAAUCUGCCGGGUACUACCUGUGCAGAAUUGUAGUUUUGUGAACGGCCUUACGGGUCGGCGUGCUGCGAUCGAAGUCCCUUGGAACAGGGCACCAGAGAGGGUGAGAGUCCCGUUCAUGGUUGCAGACAGCGUCGGCCAACACGUACUGCCGUCUCGACGAGUCGGGUUGUUUGGGAGUACAGCCCUAAAUUGGUGGUAAAUCUCAUCUAAAGCUAAAUACUGGCGAGAGACCGAUAGCGAACAAGUACCGUGAGGGAAAGAUGCAAAGAACCCUGAAAAGAGAGUUAAAAGUGCUUGAAAUUGUCAAAAGGGAAGCGAUUGGCACCAGUGUGUUGUCUGCGGCCGAAUCAGCCGGACGGCGUUGGUUGGUGAUUGUACGACGAGGGGUCCCUGGUGGCCUCCGUCGUGCGAAUGCCUGGCCGGCGUUGGACGGUGCACUUUGGUUGCAGACGGGUCAGCGUCGAUUAGGGAGGUCGAGAGAUGGGCCGGCGGAAGGUGGGCAGGCAUGAUUACAUGCUUGUCGUUACAGACGUCGGCACUCGGUAUCGCCUCUGCCUGAUCGAGGCGUCUUACAGACGUUUCAACGAGCGGCCUUCGGGUCGGGAGAACGGGUGGCCUGGCGAACGUCGACGGCGGGGACAGCAUGCUGUGCCUGUUGAUCGACGGUUGCCACCGCUGCCCUAUCACCAGCUCGUUAGGGAUGCUGACAAAAUGGUGUCAACCGACCCGUCUUGAAACACGGACCAAGGAGUCUAACAUGUAUGCGAGUAUUCGGGUGGCAAACCCGGGAUGCGCAAUGAAGGUGACAACUGGUGGGAGGCGCCUCGUGUGCCGCACCAUCGACCGCUCUGGAGAUUCUUCGAUAGAUGUGAGUGGGAGCAUACCUGUUGGGACCCGAAAGAUAGCGAACUAUGCUUGCAUAGGGUGAGGCCAGAAGAAAUUCUGGUGGAGGCUCGUAGCGAUACUGACGUGCAAAUCGUUCGUCAAAUGUGAGUAUAGCGGCGAAAGACUAAUCGAGCUAUCUAGUAGCUGGUUUCCUC